RNAcentral lists this ribosomal RNA (253 nucleotides) under uncultured bacterium. Its description in RNAcentral is "partial 16S ribosomal RNA". It matches the Rfam family "Bacterial small subunit ribosomal RNA", at positions 524 to 776 of the family's 1533-position model. The record is from RNAcentral.
UACGUAGGUGGCAAGCGUUGUCCGGAUUUACUGGGCGUCAAGAGCGCGCAGGCGGUCGUUCAAGUCGCGUGUGAAAGCCCCCGGCUCAACUGGGGAGGGUCACGCGAUACUGAUCGACUCGAAGGCAGGAGAGGGUAGUGGAAUUCCCGGUGUAGUGGUGAAAUGCGUAGAUAUCGGGAGGAACACCAGUGGCGAAGGCGACUACCUGGCCUGUUCUUGACGCUGAGGCGCGAAAGCUAGGGGAGCAAACGGG